CGCCCAACAGCUAGCCCUCCCACCCAAAAACAAUACACAACCAUUAAUACCCCCAAAUACCGUAACAUCACAAAACAAACCAUUUUUCCCCCUUAGUAUGGGAGACAGAAAAGGAUCUAAGGAGCAAUAGAAAAAGUACCGCAAGGGAAUGCUGAAAGAGAAAUGAAACAAUUCAGUAACGCCUAAAAAAGCAGAGACUACACCUCGUACCUUUUGCAUCAUGACUUAGCCAGUAAGACUCAAGCAAAGAGAACUUUAGUUUGACCCCCCGAAACUAGAUGAGCUACUCCAAGACAGCCUAUUAAUUAGGGCAAACCCGUCUCUGUGGCAAAAGAGUGGGAAGAGCUUUGAGUAGAGGUGAUAAACCUACCGAAUCUAGUUAUAGCUGGUUACCUGAGAAUUGGACCGAAGUUCAGCCUCCCUUUUUCUCCCCUCCUCCCUUAUCUAUUAACCUUAUAGACUCCGAGAAAUAGAGAGAGUUAGUCAAAGGGGGUACAGCCCCUUUGACAUAAGAUACAACUUUUCCAGGCGGGUAAAGAUCAAAAUUAAAAAAGAUAAAAUGUUCCGGUGGGCCUAAAAGCAGCCAUCCGCACAGAAAGCGUUAAAGCUCAGACAUUUUCACAUUCUAAUUAUUUUGAUAACUCCUUCUUAACCCCCUACCCCUAUCAGGUCCCCCUAUGCCCCCAUAGGAGUGACUAUGCUAAUAUGAGUAAUAAGAGGUAAAUUAAACCUCUCCUCGCACGUGUGUAAGUCGGAACGGACUCCCCACCGACCCUUAACGGCCCCAAAUAACAGAGGGUAUUGGAUAAUAAACUUAAUAACCAGAAAACUUCCCAACAAAACCCCGUUAACCCCACACUGGUGUGCAACCAAGGAAAGACUAAAAGAAAAAGAAGGAACUCGGCAAACACAUAAAGCCUCGCCUGUUUACCAAAAACAUCGCCUCUUGCAAAAGCAACGAAUAAGAGGUCCCGCCUGCCCUGUGACUAUUAGUUUAACGGCCGCGGUAUUCUGACCGUGCAAAGGUAGCGCAAUCACUUGUCUUUUAAAUGGAGACCUGUAUGAAUGGCAUCACGAGGGCUUAACUGUCUCCUUUUUCUAGUCAAUGAAAUUGAUCUCCCCGUGCAGAAGCGGGGCUAAAAACAUAAGACGAGAAGACCCUAUGGAGCUUUAGACACUAAGACAGACCACGUUAAAUACCCCUAAAAAAAGGACUGAACCAAGUGGACCCCGUCCUAAUGUCUUUGGUUGGGGCGACCGCGGGGAAACACAAAACCCCCAUGUGGAAUGGGAGGACUACUUACCUCCCACAACUCAGAGCUCCCGCUCUAAUUAACAGAAAUUCUGACCAGCAAGAUCCGGCAAAGCCGAUCAACGAACCGAGUUACCCUAGGGAUAACAGCGCAAUCCUCUUUUAGAGCCCAUAUCGACAAGAGGGUUUACGACCUCGAUGUUGGAUCAGGACAUCCUAAUGGUGCAGCCGCUAUUAAGGGUUCGUUUGUUCAACGAUUAAAGUCCUACGUGAUCUGAGUUCAGACCGGAGUAAUCCAGGUCAGUUUCUAUCUAUGACAUGUUUUUUUCUAGUACGAAAGGACCGAAAAGAAAAGGCCCAUACUUAAAGCACGCCUUACCCUCACCUAAUGAAGUCAACUAAAAUAGACAAAAGGGCAUACCCUACCUGCUCAAGAAAAAAGCAC
RNAcentral lists this ribosomal RNA (1697 nucleotides) under Hapalogenys nigripinnis (short barbeled grunter). Its description in RNAcentral is "16S ribosomal RNA". The stretch from base 96 to 1617 matches the Rfam family "Bacterial large subunit ribosomal RNA". Lineage: Eukaryota; Metazoa; Chordata; Actinopteri; Lobotiformes; Hapalogenyidae. The record is from RNAcentral.